Molecule: ribosomal RNA, 459 nt
Filed under: uncultured bacterium
Lineage: Bacteria
Description: partial 16S ribosomal RNA
Rfam family: Bacterial small subunit ribosomal RNA
Source: RNAcentral
CCUACGGGAGGCAGCAGUGGGGAAUAUUGGGCAAUGGGCGAAAGCCUGACCCAGCAAUGCCGCGUGAAUGAAGAAGGUACUGAGUAUUGUAAACCUCUUUUGCCAGGGGACAAAGGCGGCCACGGGUGGCCGUAAGAGGGUACCUGGAGAAAAAGCAUCGGCUAACUCCGUGCCAGCAGCCGCGGUAAUACGGAGGAUGCGAGCGUUAUCCGGAUUUAUUGGGUUUAAAGGGUGCGCAGGCGGCGUGUCAAGUCAGCGGUAAAAUGUCGGGGCUCAACCCCGGCCGGCCGUUGAAACUGGCGUGCUCGAGUUGGAGAGAAGUAUGCGGAAUUCGUGGUGUAGCGGUGAAAUGCAUAGAUAUCACGAAGAACCCCGAGUGCGAAGGCAGCAUACCGGCGCCCGACUGACGCUGAGGCACGAAAGCGUGGGGAUCGAACAGGAUUAGAUACCCUAGUAGUC